This 354-nucleotide ribosomal RNA is filed under the name Ectobiidae sp. 21 FL-2016. RNAcentral's name for it is "12S ribosomal RNA". Lineage: Eukaryota; Metazoa; Arthropoda; Insecta; Blattodea; Ectobiidae. The record is from RNAcentral.
UUUUAACUUAAAUGGUGAAAGUACUUGAGUAGUAAUAGUUAUGUUCUUGAAACUUAAAGAAUUUGGCGGUAUUUUAGUCUAUUUAGAGGAAUCUGUUCCAUAAUCGAUAAUCCGCGUUGAACCUUACUUAAAAUUUUUAAUAUGUAUACCGCUGUUGUUAAGAAUCUUUAUAGAUAGAAAUUUUUUUAAUAUUUUAUUUAAUAAUUUUUCAGGUCAAGGUGCAGUUUGUGUUUAAGAGGUAAUGGAUUACAAUUUUAGAAAAAAUUAUGGAAUAUAAUUGAAAUAUGAAUAUGAAAGUGGAUUUAAUAGUAAUUUUAUAAAGAUUAUUAAAAUGACUGAAGCUCUAGAAUGUGU